Molecule: long non-coding RNA, 1331 nt
Organism: Mytilus californianus (California mussel)
Lineage: Eukaryota; Metazoa; Mollusca; Bivalvia; Mytilida; Mytilidae
Exons: 2
Source: RefSeq, a predicted model, not a curated record
UGAAAUCACAUAUUUUACAAUGAUACUAGUGAGUAGAUUUACAAAACUACGUAAAUGAGCUACACCUAGUCAGCCAAAACAUAUCAAAAGACUAAUAACAGGAUUACUCAAAACUACAUUACAUUUUUAUACGACCGCAAAAAAAUUUUUGUGGUCGUAUAUUGGUAUGACGUUGGCGUCGUCGUCGUCCGAAGACACAUUAGUUUUCGCACUCUAACUUUAGUUUAAGUGAAUGGAUCUCAAUGAAAUUUUACCAUAAGGUUCAAUACCACAAAAGGAAGGUGGGGAUUGAUUUUGGGGGUUAUGGUACCCACAGUUAAGGAAUUAGGGGCCAAAAAUAAGCCAAAAAUAAGCAUUUUUGUAACUUCCAGACAUAACUUGUGUGUAAGUGUAUGGAUCUCUCUGACAUUGUAUCACAAGGUUCCAUAUCACAAAGGGAAUGCUGGGAUUGACUUUGGGGGUGAUUGCCUUCAAAUUUUAGGAAUUAGGGGCCAAAAAGGGGCAAAAAACAAGCAUUUUUCUAGUUUCAGGACAAUAACUUGUGUGUAAGUGUAUGGAUCUCUCUGACAUUGUAUCACAAAGGGAAUGCUGGGAUUGAUUUUGGGGGUAAUUGCCUCCAAAUUUUAGGAAUUAGGGGCCAAAAAGGGGCAAAAAACAAGCAUUUUUCUAGUUUCAUGACAAUAACUUGUGUGUAAGUGUAAGGAUCUUUAUGAAAUUGUACUACAAGGUUCCAUAUCACAAAGGGAAAGCUGGGUUUGAGUUUGGGGGUAAUUGCCCUAAAUGAUUAGGAAUUUGGGGCCAAAAAGGGGCCUAAAAACAAGCAUUUUUCUAGUUUCCAGACAAUAACUUGUGUUCAAGUGUAUGGAUCUCUCUGAAAUUAUACUGCAAGGUACCAUACCACAAAGGGAAAGCUGGGAUUGAGUUUGACGGUGAUGAAUCAUAAGGGGGUUCAAAAAAUUGGGGGGGAUUUUUUUUUCAUUUUUUUUCUUUAAAAUUUUCCAUUUUAAAUUGGUUAUUUCUGAUUUAUAUAUAAAAGCAAAUAAUAAUUAUAUGGUUUGAAUAGGUAAAUUAAAAAUUCUUAGACCACUUUCAUUCUGUGUGAGAAACCUAUGCUGUGUCAAAUAUUUAAUUACAAUCCAAAUUCAGUGCUGUAUCAAGCUUGAAUGUUGUGUCCAUACUUGCCCCAACUGUUCAGGGUUCGACCUCUGCGGUCGUAUCAAGCUGCGCCCCAGCGGAGCAUUUUAUUUAAAAAAUCAGAUUUUCUAAGUCAUUUCUUUAGGAAAAAUAGUUUUAAUAAGUUGUGAUUUAAAUAAAAAAAAAAAAAAAUUUUA